Molecule: long non-coding RNA, 512 nt
Organism: Artibeus jamaicensis (Jamaican fruit-eating bat)
Lineage: Eukaryota; Metazoa; Chordata; Mammalia; Chiroptera; Phyllostomidae
Exons: 3
Source: RefSeq, a predicted model, not a curated record
GACACGGCCACUCAUCUCAUGGAACCUGCCUAUGGUGCAGGAGAUAAGCCGAGACCAGGAAGACAAAUAGCUGAUUAAAAGGCAACCGACCACACGCUGUACGUGAGUUGCUGUGUAUUACUGAGCUUACGGUGUGCGGGAGUGCAACGUGUGCGAGCGAAGCAGCACAAGGGGACGGGCGGGAGCGAGGCUGUACUGAAGCGCAGAAGAGACAUCACACAGUACCCUGAAUCCACGGGAAAAAGUGAGAAGACUCAGAGACGCUAAGUAAGAAGGGCGCCCUUGGAGCUCAGCAACUGUCAUCAGGGAAGCUCGGACUAGCUCACAAAGCAGCGCCGAGGCCCCAGCGAAGAGCCGGCAUCAACUAGAAGACAAGUAAAUGAUGACGACGUGUCAGACGGCCAGUCCCCAGCCUCAGAGUCUUCCAGCUGAAGCUCAGACACUGCGCCCCGCCUGCAUUCCUGACCUACAGGACCUGGGAGCAGAGUAGUGGUUGUCUUAUGCUACUGAGG